UUUCAACUCUCUCUCUCUCUCAUGUGCUUGAACUAACCUUCAAUUCCGAUCAAAUCGAAGAUGAAGCAAACGUUUGAACAUGGCCGCAAGCUAAAUGUGCGAUUCCGAUCACUGGUGAAUUCUCAAACCUUCAAUUCCGUAUUCGAUUUCAUCUUCGAUUUUGUAUUUUUUUUUUUUCAUCUUUGAUUUCGUAUUUGAUUUCAUCUAUGAUUUUUUAUUCGAUUUCAUCUUCAAUUCCAUAUUUGAAUUCAUCUUUUCAUAUUCAAUUCCAUCUUCCAUUUCAUAUUUGAUUUGAUCUUCGAUUAUGUAUUUGUUUUUAUUUUUCGUUUCACAUCUCCAUUAGCUAUCUUUGUUGAAGGUAUUUCCAUUGUUCUAAUGCCUUGCUUUUUUUUUUCUUUCACUUUUGUUUUUCCCGUUGUAAAAAUGGUUGAGAUGAAGUGUGAGUUUUGUGUUGUGUUGGUUAUUGUUUUCAUUUUGCUUUUGUUUUGAUUCAUGGUAGAAUGCUUGUUUUGUGUUCGAUAAAAUGCUUCAACUAAACUUUAUGACACAAUGCUUGUUUUGUGUUUGAUAAAAUGCCUCAAUCAACCUUUAUGGUACAAUGCUUGAUUUUUGUUUGAUAAAAUGCUUGAACCAAAUUUUUUUUACUUCUCGAAUAUUUGUAAUGUGAUUCUCCAGCAUCUAUGCUCUUUAAAUGUGUUUCAAUUCUGCAAAACGAACGGAAUUGUUUGUUCGGAAUGCAUUAAUUUUUAUCUUAGAGUGGGGAUGCUAGGUAUGCAGGGCAUGGCAACAAAUUUGUGAUGUUAGUGGGGCUGAGUUUGACAAGGUUAUCAAUGUAUUGGAGUUCAAUUGGAGGAAAUAGUAAGGGGUCUAGUUUCCUAUUUUUCAUUAUUUGUGGAUUUUAUCCAUGAUGCAUUUAAAAUUUUAUAUCUAGAACGUAAAUGAGCAAGACUACGGCCAUGAAGUAGCUGACAUCAUAAGCAAUGUUUCCUACACCGCAAACUGUCUUGCUCCCUGUGUGAAGAUCCUGGAUGAAAAAUUCGAAUCGUCCUUUGCAUUAAAUUGUUGCGCAAUACUGGUGAUGAGAUAAGGAAGGGAUGUCUGCAAUCUUGCAGGCAGAACAUUAUGAAGAUGAUUGCGGAUAAGCAACGCCACAAGACAAAGGAGAUUAAAGAGAAGGCUUGCAUUUCUCAUGUGCAGCUUGAUGACCUUAAAGAGAAGGGGGGAAAUUGUGUUGGAUGAAAACUUGUAAUCAUUUUUGUAUGUAAUUCAAAUUGUGUUGCAUAGUUUAUUUUCGUUAUGCAAUAAUAAGAACAGUGAAGGGCGGGAAUUUUAUAGAGUAUGUAAUUCAAAGUAGUUAUUAAAACUUGUAUUUAAUAUUGGUUAAUUCAAAUAUGAAUGAAGUCUAAGCAAAGACAAAUUUGAUAAAUUAAAAAAAAAAAUAGUUUAGACAAUU
This 1453-nucleotide long non-coding RNA is filed under the name Medicago truncatula (barrel medic). Its description in RNAcentral is "lncRNA gene29150". Lineage: Eukaryota; Viridiplantae; Streptophyta; Magnoliopsida; Fabales; Fabaceae. The record is from RNAcentral.